Long non-coding RNA from Mastomys coucha (southern multimammate mouse), 680 nucleotides. RefSeq lists it as uncharacterized. The record is from RefSeq and is a predicted model, not a curated record. The transcript is spliced from 2 exons. NCBI's taxonomy places the organism in Eukaryota, Metazoa, Chordata, Mammalia, Rodentia, Muridae.
UGUAAUGGGUUCUGGAGAGAUGCUUCACUUCUAUGGACUUCCAUCCGCCAUUCUUGGGGAAGAUGAAGAGUGACCUUGGGGUAUUUUGUGAGCAGGCUGAGUGAUCACUGUGGAGAAAAUGUGGGAACUCCUGUUUUUCCCUGAGGCUCUACCAACUAAGCUGAGCUUACACUGAAGUCAGACCAUGCCCGGAUGCUGAAGCUGGUCUGUGGGUCAGGAAAAUGCUACCGCCACAGGUUCUAGAACACAACGCUACACUUCUAGGUCUUCAUCAAGUUUGCUUGUUUACUUUGCACUUCCCAGGACCCUCUGACUUUGGCUUGUUUAUUUCUGUAUAAUUGACGAUGAGACCUACAGUUCUGUGUUGCUCUUCAUUGUUGGAAGAAAAUCAGAAUUUAAAUACCGCCCUGUCAAACUCCAUGCUUUUGUGAACCAAUAGUUAAUGACUCAUAAAAAAUGAUUCACCAGAUUUUGUAGCACUUGGGGAAGUAGGGAGAGAUAGAGCUCUUCUACUAGAAUUUAGAUAUCUAAUCCCUUUUUUAUUUGGAUAUCCAAAGAUAUAUAUGUAUAUAUCAAUAUAGAUUGAUUAUGAUUGAUAGAUGAUAGAUCAAUAGAUAGAUAUAUUUUAAUGUCAAAGUAUUCUAUUGCAUUCUGUCGUCACAAACAAUGCUUUAUGUCAA